This 497-nucleotide ribosomal RNA is filed under the name uncultured bacterium. RNAcentral describes it as "partial 16S ribosomal RNA". It matches the Rfam family "Bacterial small subunit ribosomal RNA", at positions 28 to 507 of the family's 1533-position model. The record is from RNAcentral.
GAUGAACGCUGGCGGCGUGCCUAAUACAUGCAAGUCGAGCGAACAGACGAGGAGCUUGCUCCUCUGACGUUAGCGGCGGACGGGUGAGUAACACGUGGAUAACCUACCUAUAAGACUGGGAUAACUUCGGGAAACCGGAGCUAAUACCGGAUAAUAUAUUGAACCGCAUGGUUCAAUAGUGAAAGACGGUUUUGCUGUCACUUAUAGAUGGAUCCGCGCCGCAUUAGCUAGUUGGUAAGGUAACGGCUUACCAAGGCAACGAUGCGUAGCCGACCUGAGAGGGUGAUCGGCCAAACUGGAACGGAGACACGGUCCAGACGCCUACGGGAGGCAGCAGUAGGGAAUCUUCCGCAAUGGGCGAAAGCCUGACGGAGCAACGCCGCGUGAGUGAUGAAGGUCUUCGGAUCGUAAAACUCUGUUAUUAGGGAAGAACAAAUGUGUAAGUAACUAUGCACGUCUUGACGGUACCUAAUCAGAAAGCCACGGCUAACUACGUG